RNAcentral lists this ribosomal RNA (482 nucleotides) under uncultured bacterium. RNAcentral's name for it is "partial 16S ribosomal RNA". It matches the Rfam family "Bacterial small subunit ribosomal RNA", at positions 30 to 507 of the family's 1533-position model. The record is from RNAcentral.
AUUGAACGCUGGCGGCAUGCUUUACACAUGCAAGUCGAACGGCAGCGCGGGGCAACCUGGCGGCGAGUGGCGAACGGGUGAGUAAUACAUCGGAACGUACCCAGAAGUGGGGGAUAACGUAGCGAAAGGUACGCUAAUACCGCAUACGUUCUACGGAAGAAAGUGGGGGACCUUCGGGCCUCAUGCUUUUGGAGCGGCCGAUGUCUGAUUAGCUAGUUGGUGAGGUAAAGGCUCACCAAGGCGACGAUCAGUAGCUGGUCUGAGAGGACGACCAGCCACACUGGGACUGAGACACGGCCCAGACUCCUACGGGAGGCAGCAGUGGGGAAUUUUGGACAAUGGGCGCAAGCCUGAUCCAGCAAUGCCGCGUGAGUGAAGAAGGCCUUCGGGUUGUAAAGCUCUUUUGUCAGGGAAGAAACGGCUGAGGAUAAUACCUUCGGCUAAUGACGGUACCUGAAGAAUAAGCACCGGCUAACUACGUG